This 561-nucleotide ribosomal RNA is filed under the name Triticum aestivum (bread wheat). Its description in RNAcentral is "partial small subunit ribosomal RNA". The record is from RNAcentral. Lineage: Eukaryota; Viridiplantae; Streptophyta; Magnoliopsida; Poales; Poaceae.
ACAUUGCAUGGAACUCUCCCAUGCCGUGUUACGCUCGCUAAUAGACACAUGAAAAUUUCGCCCAUCUGCCCAUCAUGCUCAAAUGGUCCAGAAGACACAAAACACGUCUUGUUUCUGUGUCAGAAGGCGAAAGAGGUUUGGAACAAGUUAGGAUUGUAUGAGGUGAUCAAUAGAGCUUGUAGUGUCGAUCGGGCGGGAGAGGCAGUUCUUGAAUUGUUACUACUUAUGCCAGACCAAGAAUUAUUUGUAUUGGGACUCCAGAACGUACGUGAAUUGAUUGCUAUAACAACUUGGUAUCUAUGGUGGGAUAGACGUAAACUGGUUCAUGAAGGAAAGUCUCAAGAUGCACAUCAAACUUCGAUGGGGGCUCGUGCCAUAACGGCGAACUAUGUUAAUGCACACUCCUCUAAGGCAACCAGUAAAAUAAGGGGAUGGAGCAGACCUCCUAUGGGUUUUGUGAAACUAAAUGUUGAUGCUUCCUUUGAUCACGAUCUGCUUAGGAGCACGGCAGGGGCUGUCCUCAGAGAUGACAAAGGAAGGUUCAUUGUUGGCGGAAAUUGA